RNAcentral lists this ribosomal RNA (158 nucleotides) under Teichospora quercus. RNAcentral's name for it is "5.8S ribosomal RNA". It matches the Rfam family "5.8S ribosomal RNA". From Rfam's summary of the family: 5.8S ribosomal RNA (5.8S rRNA) is a component of the large subunit of the eukaryotic ribosome. It is transcribed by RNA polymerase I as part of the 45S precursor that also contains 18S and 28S rRNA. Functionally, it is thought that 5.8S rRNA may be involved in ribosome translocation. The record is from RNAcentral. Lineage: Eukaryota; Fungi; Ascomycota; Dothideomycetes; Pleosporales; Teichosporaceae.
CAACUUUCAACAAUGGAUCUCUUGGCUCUGGCAUCGAUGAAGAACGCAGCGAAAUGCGAUAAGUAGUGUGAAUUGCAGAAUUCCGUGAAUCAUCGAAUCUUUGAACGCACAUUGCGCCCCUCGGUAUUCCUUGGGGCAUGCCUGUUCGAGCGUCAUUU